Molecule: ribosomal RNA, 136 nt
Filed under: Ralstonia pseudosolanacearum
Lineage: Bacteria; Pseudomonadati; Pseudomonadota; Betaproteobacteria; Burkholderiales; Burkholderiaceae
Description: partial 16S ribosomal RNA
Rfam family: Bacterial small subunit ribosomal RNA
Source: RNAcentral
GAACUGAAGAGUUUGAUCCUGGCUCAGAUUGAACGCUGGCGGCAUGCCUUACACAUGCAAGUCGAACGGCAGCGGGGGUAGCUUGCUACCUGCCGGCGAGUGGCGAACGGGUGAGUAAUACAUCGGAACGUGCCCU